ACGGUUGAAAGCUUUAGCGUCUGAGGAUGGGUCUGCGGCCGAUUAGGUAGUUGCUGGGGUAACGUCCCAACAAGCCGAUAAUCGGUACGGGUUGUGAGAGCAAGAGCCCGGAGAUGGAUUCUGAGACACGAAUCCAGGUCCUACGGGGCGCAGCAGGCGCGAAAACUUUACACUGCGCGAAAGCGCGAUAAGGGGACCUCGAGUGCGUGCGCAAAGCGUACGCUUUUCAGAUGCCUAAAAAGCAUCUGGAAUAAGGGCCGGGCAGGACCGGUGCCAGCCGCCGCGGUAACACCGGCGGCUCAAGUGGUGGCCGCUAUUAUUGGGCUUAAAGGGUCCGUAGCCGGACCAGUUAGUCCCUUGGGAAAUCUUACGGCUUAACCGUAAGGCUGCCAAUGGAUACUGCUGGUCUUGGGACCGGGAGAGGCAAGAGGUACCUCAGGGGUAGGAGUGAAAUCCUGUAAUCCUUGAGGGACCGCCAGUGGCGAAGGCGUCUUGCUAGAACGGGUCCGACGGUGAGGGACGAAAGCUAGGGGCACGAACCGGAUUAGAUACCCGGGUAGUCCUAGCCGUAAACGAUGCGAGCUAGGUGUCACGUGGAUUGCGAAUCCAUGUGGUGCCGAAGGGAAACCGUGAAGCUCGCCGCCUGGGAAGUACGGCCGCAAGGCUGAAACUUAAAGGAAUUGGCGGGGGAGCAC
RNAcentral lists this ribosomal RNA (695 nucleotides) under uncultured euryarchaeote. RNAcentral's name for it is "bacterial SSU rRNA". It matches the Rfam family "Archaeal small subunit ribosomal RNA", at positions 183 to 879 of the family's 1478-position model. Lineage: Archaea; Methanobacteriati; Methanobacteriota. The record is from RNAcentral.